Molecule: ribosomal RNA, 465 nt
Filed under: uncultured bacterium
Lineage: Bacteria
Description: partial 16S ribosomal RNA
Rfam family: Bacterial small subunit ribosomal RNA
Source: RNAcentral
GACGAACGCUGGCGGCGUGCUUAACACAUGCAAGUCGAACGGAAAGGCCCUGCUUGCAGGGUACUCGAGUGGCGAACGGGUGAGUAACACGUGGGUGAUCUGCCCUGCACUUCGGGAUAAGCCUGGGAAACUGGGUCCAAUACCGGAUAUGACCUUCCAUGUAGUGUGGGGGGUGGAAAGAUUUAUCGGUGUGGGAUGAGCCCGCGGCCUAUCAGCUUGUUGGUGGGGUAAUGGCCUACCAAGGCGUCGACGGGUAGCCGGCCUGAGAGGGUGGACGGCCACAUUGGGACUGAGAUACGGCCCAGACUCCUACGGGAGGCAGCAGUGGGGAAUAUUGCACAAUGGGCGGAAGCCUUAUGCAGCGACGCCGCGUGGGGGAUGACGGCCUUCGGGUUGUAAACCUCUUUCGACAGGGACGAAGCUUCGGUGACGGUACCUGUAUAAGAAGCACCGGCUAACUACGUG